UGAGGAAUAUUGGUCAAUGGGCGAGAGCCUGAACCAGCCAAGUAGCGUGCAGGAUGACGGCCCUAUGGGUUGUAAACUGCUUUUAUAAGGGAAUAAAGUGAGAGUCGUGACUCUUUUUGCAUGUACCUUAUGAAUAAGGACCGGCUAAUUCCGUGCCAGCAGCCGCGGUAAUACGGAAGGUCCGGGCGUUAUCCGGAUUUAUUGGGUUUAAAGGGAGCGUAGGCCGGAGAUUAAGCGUGUUGUGAAAUGUAGACGCUCAACGUCUGCACUGCAGCGCGAACUGGUUUCCUUGAGUACGCACAAAGUGGGCGGAAUUCGUGGUGUAGCGGUGAAAUGCUUAGAUAUCACGAAGAACUCCGAUUGCGAAGGCAGCUCACUGGAGCGCAACUGACGCUGAAGCUCGAAAGUGCGGGUAUCGAACAGG
This 424-nucleotide ribosomal RNA is filed under the name uncultured bacterium. Its description in RNAcentral is "bacterial SSU rRNA". It matches the Rfam family "Bacterial small subunit ribosomal RNA", at positions 355 to 776 of the family's 1533-position model. The record is from RNAcentral. RNAcentral also lists the same sequence under 1 other name.